This 460-nucleotide ribosomal RNA is filed under the name uncultured bacterium. Its description in RNAcentral is "partial 16S ribosomal RNA". It matches the Rfam family "Bacterial small subunit ribosomal RNA", at positions 338 to 795 of the family's 1533-position model. The record is from RNAcentral.
CCUACGGGUGGCAGCAGUGAGGAAUAUUCGUCAAUGGGCGCGAGCCUGAACCAGCCAAGUAGCGUGAAGGAUGACUGCCCUACGGGUUGUAAACUUCUUUUAUAAAGGAAUAAAGUGAGGCACGUGUGCCUUUUUGUAUGUACUUUAUGAAUAAAGAUCGGCUAACUCCGUGCCAGCAGCCGCGGUAAUACGGAGGAUCCGGGCGUUAUCCGGAUUUAUUGGGUUUAAAGGGAGCGUAGAUGGGUUGUUAAGUCAGUUGUGAAAUUUUGCGGCUCAACCGUAAAAUUGCAAUUGAUACUGGCAGUCUUGAGUACAGUUGAGGUAGGCGGAAUUCGUGGUGUAGCGGUGAAAUGCUUAGAUAUAACGAAGAACUCCGAUUGCGAAGGCAGCUUACUAAGCUGACACUGACAUUGAUGCUCGAAAGUGUGGGUAUCAAACAGGAUUAGAUACCCUUGUAGUC